UUGAUAUCUGCUGAAGCCCAUGGGUCUUAACCCAAAUCAGCUGAAGAAAAUCAGACCCAAGAAGAGUUCCUGCAAUUUAACAAAAUGUGGUGACAGCUUCUGGAAGAAGUGUUGAAAUUCACACCUGCACAUCCAGCCUGAAUGCCCAUCAGGUCUAGAUAACCAAAAUACACUGGAAAGAAAUGUAGUAACUUCAUUGUCAUACCCCAGAGAUCAAUGGCACAAAAUACCCAGUGAGGGACUGGAGAAGUCUCCCAGCUUGCCUGGUAUCUAUGAAUCCAAAUGGAAAAGAGAAUGUUGGCAAAGACACUCGGUCCUACUGUGAGCAAAAGCUGCCCUCGUACCCAGGGAAGCAACUAAUAGUUGGCACAGGACUGAGAGCUCUGGGGAGCUGUGCAGGAGCGAUGUCUCCUGUGGGGAAGAAAAAAGCUUAGUGCAGACUCCAAGUUCUUCUCAGUACGGGCAGUGGGAAGGGAACAGCGUAAUGUCUGGAAUUACCUGUCAUUCCUAGCUGGCAUCCAGGCUCUUAGCUGUGGUGAGGUUUGUUGCACUGGGGUUUCCAUAAAGAGCGUUCAUCAAUCAGGAAUGCAGGUACUUUUUCAAAGAAACUCUGGGCGUCUGCAGAGCUUGAUGGAUAUGCUUAUAAAUUUGAAAGUGGCAGUUUGGAGGGCAAUUUGGAGGGUAGCUGGCAAGACAUGAGCCAUUGUGGAAAAAUGAAUUCACAGGCAGGACUUCUUUGAGAAUGAAUUUGAGAAUGAAAGUGAUUCCACCAACCUGCUUCAUUCGUUUAUUUAAAUUUAUGCUAUAAAAUGAACAGCAGAGGAAAGCCAAAACUUGCACUGAUGAUUUUUCUUCUUUGUUCCUUACCUUCUUUUAUUUAUUGAGCUGCUCUGGAUACACCUUUCAAAAGACUUUUUUUUUUUUUUUUUUGAUUCACUGUUUAUUAUAUCUUCAUCAGCCUUGAAAUGGGAGCUGCAGGCAGCUUGAUAAAUGGAUCAAAAAGCUGCUUCUGCCAGAAUCAAACUAACAAACCCCCUCAAUAUCCAUAACCCCUUUUGUUUUAACAUUUCUAAAACAAGCAUGAUUUCCCUCAGAGCAACACUGAAGAGUGAUGCCCCAGUAUCCGUAAGUGUUUCAGCAAAGGGAUUUCUUUAUUCAGUUAUGUCCAGGGCAGAAGUUUGUCACUGGGUCACGAACAGGACUCAGCCUGCAGCACGGGAGAGCAAGGGUAGCUGGGGUAUGGUAGAGAGAGUCCUUGGAAGGCUGAACAAAUCCUGACUCUAAAAUGUGCUGGGCAGGUUGAUGGAGUAAAUGAGCCAACAUGUACGAAAUUGGGUCUUGCUCACAGAAACUAACAGCUGUCUUUCUUCCAUACAGCUGGGGUUUUUUUGCCUAGAUGCUUUCUAAACUCUCCCUUUUCUUCCAAUCCGUCUUUAAAUAUGGACAGCUAAAUAUAGCCCAGGUUCAAACCUUUUGUCUUCAGCACACUUACUGAGUUCCACAGUUGGUGCAGCCUGGCAGUAAACCAGGGCUUUAGCUACUGUGAUUUAUUGAUAGAGGUAAGUGGUUCAGCCCCAUCUGUGAUAGUACAAAAUGUUCAGAAGAAAAUAAAUACCCCAUAAGAAAGUGGUAAUGGACCAUCAGAUGCAGAGCUCCCAAACAGCCAGGUGAAGACAUCACAUUUCCUGCUGUAGCAGAUAGCACAGGUGUUGCAGCAAAGUGGGGGGUGGCGGGGCAGGCAUGGGAGGUGGGGGACAAGUUUGGACAACCCAACACCCCCCCCCCCCCCAACAAAACAAAACCUAAAACAAAUAAAAAAGGCAUGAAGUUGUAUGACUUGUGAGAGGGAGUAGCAAAGCUCUAGUGGUGGAUCCCGAGGGCAAAAUGACAGAGGUUUGUGUUCCUGUCCUCAUUAACCUUGUUUCACCUCUGCAUGCAAAACUGGUUAAUAUGCAAAGCAGAAGAUGUGAAUCUUGGCCUGAGCUCAUUGGUAUGUAAUUUGCCAGUAUGGGUCAUGCUGAGAACAGUGCAUCCUGCUCUCCUAACACCGUUUCCAGAAUGCAGCAAGUUGGCAGCACCCAAGGGCUGCCGCAAGGAUGCCUGAUGGGCUCUGCCAAAGCCAACAGUCUUCUCGUCGCUGUUCCUACCCACUGCUUGCCUGGUUUCCAACCAUCUGUGUCAUCAGUGGGCUGCCAGGGUCCUGGGCUGGUUACAGUCACAUCUUCCAAGUAAUGAUUCCAGUGCCAUGGUCAUGCUGUGGGUUUGUUUCUGAAUUAUGGAGAGCCAGUAUUACUGAAUUAUUACAGUGAACUGCUCCUGUCUGGGUUUUUUUUUUUCUCCCAUCUUUUCCAGUCUGUCUUAAGAACUGUCUGCCUUCAGAAAGAAUUUUGCUGUUCCUUGGGGCAGGAGGUGAAUAUGAGUGGAGAAGGAUGGAGAGCUGGAGGCUGCCUUUCUCUUGCUGGAAACACACAGCAUGCACAAAGCCAUGCAGGCAGGAAUACUAAUUGGAAUAAGAGGGCAGCAAACAGCUGGAAGGAAGUGCACAUCUGAAUGAGGAGGAUCCAUCUCUACAAACAGUCACCCAGGCUUUCCUUCCUUCCCAGAAACCACGGGUGUCUUCUGCUAAAGAGCAGCAUCCUGCUUCUACCGGUGAGGAAUCACUGACACCAUGACAAAACCUGACGGACUUAGGAAGAGCUGUCCUGGCUGGGUAAUAGCUACCUGACCUCCAGCAGAAGGUGCAACCUUACCUACUAGAAGGUGAGAAACCCAUCAGGUGCUAGAGAUAGAUCCUCCUGAUUUCCAAAGCAAACCUGUUAUCACAGGCUAAAGAGAGGAUGAAGUAUGAGGGAUGAUCUAGUCCAGUUAGUGCAUUUUUAUCUCAGAGGGGAUUUUCAAGAGACAGCUAUCAUCAGUGUAUGGCUUUGGGGCAACCAGAGCUACAUUAACCAAAAGACAUCUUUGGCCUACCAAAUGUGUAACUAACAGGAGGUUAUCCUGGACUGAGUACCUCCAGUGUUGAGACUCACUAUGUCUCAGGUUUAGCUCAGGUUUGCACCCAGGGCAGUUUCCACCAGGCAUAGACUUUGAACCUGGGCACUUUCCACCUAUCUGAAUAUGGCAAGAGGAGGUGGAAAGAUUGCAGUGCCCUUGGCAUCUUCUCAGCACUCACCUGGCAAUUUCUACAGACAUCCAUUGCGGACCUCAAUGGUUGUGAUGAACUUGGAGAGGCUGCAAAAUGGAUAGACAAAAUGCCCCACUUAAAAGCAGCUCAAAGGAAAGGCAGGAGCUGUGAGCAGCCGGGAGAGGGGUCUGGAGGGAGCAGGACAGACAGAGCCGAGCUGCCUUUCCCAAAGCCUGCUUAGCAUAGGCCAGGGCCCCCAUUUGCUAUUGACUGGAGGGAUGUUUUACAAGUGCCCCUUCUGGCUUAGAGAGAUAUGAAAUCUGUCUGUAAUUAAGUUAAUUUGGAGUUGAACAUGGGCAAAGAUAAUGAGCUGGAAAUAACAAAAGAAGAUUAAGAAAGAGAGGAAGGUGUUGCUAAGAAACAGAUCUAUUGCCUCAAAUCCUCCCCCCUGCCCAAUCAAAUAAAAGGUUUUUAGGAGCUGGAUGGUUGAGUGAUGGGGCAGACAGAGCACAGGCGUGAUGAUUGCUAUAUAAAGGCUCAAAAUAAUGAAGGAGAUAAGAAGAGAGGUAUGACUUGGAGAACUGAGGAAGGCAAAAAGGAGGAGAAAAAUUAUUUCUUAUGCAAGUGACAGUUGUAGCCAGUACAGUUUAGUGGCAGAGCAGUGGCUUUGGGAUCAGCAGAGGGUGCCUGCUGCCUGACUUGCCUGCUGGUCUCAGGGAACCCUUCCAGUGCCCUGAGCCUCUACUGGGAAGUGCUCUGAGACGUGUAAAUAAGGCCACCAUGUCUUGCUUAUCAAAGAUGAGCAAACAGCCCCUCUUGAAGGACAAGGCUUUUAUUUUCUUCAGCAUUUGACCCUGGUGAGUGUUCCCACUGGAGUCAAGCAUCAGGGUGAAGACUUAAGACUGUUUCUCCUUGGCUUUUAGAAAUGCUAUAAAAUACAGCCUGUUCAAGCCAAAAGGAGGAUGGAAAAGAGGUCUGCCGAAGGGAGCAGAAUACUUAACAGUCUGCACAGCAUAAGUAAAUAGACAAGUUAUGAUCAAUGAGUUUGUUUGAAUUUGACAGAGCUUUCCUGCAAACAUGGGGGAGGGAAGGGGGGCAAAACAUUCCCUGCCAGUGUGAGCUGUAAUAAAGAACCUGCUGUUUUCUGAUUCUCACUCUCUGUGAAAAUUGAAAAGGUUAGCCAGGUAAUUGAAAUCGGGACUGGAAUACCAAUACGUGUGAAAGCCUUACAGCUGGCAAAUAAAGUUGCAGGGAAAAAGACUCAAUCCUCAGUGGAAUUGCUUAGCAGCAAAAAGACAGGAUAGAUGGUGGGGAGAGGAUUCUUCAAUAUACCUGUUCCUCAUGGGAGGGGAGAUAGGGGAAGGAAUGAGACCUGAAGCAACCCGACUGAGGCUAACACUUGUAUGAGUGCUCUUUGCUGUUAAUACAAGACACACUGUAAAAAAGUGUAGUGUGCAAAGGCUGAAUCAUGGCAGUCAUUGCUGCCUCUUGGAGUAAUGUACUAGGUUUACUGGGAAUUGUUAGGCUGCCACGUCAGACCCAGCUAAGGGACUGUUUCUUGUUAUAUGUGCAGAGAGAGAACUUCACACAACAGCCCCUUGUGUUGGGGCUGAGAUACGUAAGCAAACUAGAUGCAACUGGACCAUUGUCAACUGCCUGUUCAUCUUGGUUGUAUGCAGGAACACAAACUGAUUUGCAUUAUUUUAAGCUAAGGCCAGGGAGGUAGAAGGUUACUGCUGAGCAGCUGAGGAAUGGUUCCUUGUUACACUACUUUGUGCUCUACGUGUCCAAGUCACAGUGGAGGGUCCUGCCAUUGCUACUGCAAUGUAAAUUUGUAUGUGUUUCUGUUUCUGUGGUCUGUUUUUCUGCAUGAUCAGGUAACUUGAGCUGGGAAGAAACAGUGGUGCAGGUCUUGGGGGAGCUGAGGUUUGUGGUAUUAGUAGAGUUCAUUCACAUUCAAAGCCCCCUCCACAUGUAAUAUUUCCUUAGCACCAACCCAACCAACGGAAACUCCAGUCUGUAUAUGGUUAAAUAAACAAUAAAUAUACCUCCAA
This is a long non-coding RNA of Falco peregrinus (peregrine falcon), 5178 nucleotides long. RefSeq lists it as uncharacterized. The record is from RefSeq and is a predicted model, not a curated record. The transcript has 3 exons. NCBI's taxonomy places the organism in Eukaryota, Metazoa, Chordata, Aves, Falconiformes, Falconidae.